AUGGGAGGGGGUCCUGCAGGGCGCUCCGUCAGGAUGGGGCAGGAUCCGGUCUCCUUCCCUUGCCGAUUUUGGGGCCGUGGGUACCAGCGAGGGGAGGGCGCAAUGUGGGCUGGAAGCCACCCGAGCUGUGCCCACAUCCCUCAUCCCACUCCCCGUAUGGGGUGUGUGGGGGGCUUAAAACCUUGUCCCCAGAGCACCGGUGCCGUGGGGGGGCUGUGGGAGCGGCGCGGCGCGCUGACGCCCCUUCUCUCCGCAGGACACCCAGAAGGCGAAGCAGUUCCUGCCCUUCCUGCAGCGCGCCGGCCGCUCCGAGGCCGUGGUGGAGUACGUCUUCAGCGGGUCCCGCCUGAAGCUCUUCAUGCCCAAGGAGACCUGCCUCAUCACCUUCCUGCUGGCAGGUAUCGAGUGUCCCCGUGGAGCCAGGAACCUGCCGGGGCUGGUGCAGGAGGGGGAACCCUUCAGCGAGGAGGCCACGCACUUCACCAAGGAGCUGGUGCUGCAGCGGGAGGUAGGAGCGUGCGGCGCGGGCGCGGGCGCAGACGAUGGCAGAGGGUGCCAACUGCCUCGCCAAGGGGCUGCGGGCAGACGCAGCGGGUGGGGGCUUUCCAUGUCAUGGGAAUUGCCACAUUCAUGUGUCACCGAGUGUCCCUAUGGCCAGGUUUGGGUCUGGGCACAGCCAGGGGGAUGCAGGGGCUGCGGUGUCCGUGCUGUGUGCUAGGGGUGGACGGGAGCCCUGUGCCACCGCCGGUCACGGCACGCUGGUGCCACAGGAAUGGUGCUUUGUGUUGGAAGCCAAUGCGUAAAUUUGGGAGGUGGCGUCUCCCCAUGACCCCUAAAUCUCCUCUUGUGCCGGACGUUUCUCCCCACUGGGGCCAGGGUGGAAAAGCGCUCGCUUGCCUCUUCUUUUACCCUUUUUUUAUUUGCAUGGAAAGCAAUAACAAGAGAUAUUUGUGCUGGGCAUGGCACAGAGGGGGCUGCAUCCUGCAGGGUGCCAGCUGAGGGUGCUGAGUGUGCCCCAGAAAGACCGCAAAGGCCGUGGCCCCAAAAAGCACCUGGCAAUGACGCCUGCAAAAAAAAAGGAAAGCACAGAGAUGAUGCUUGCAGAAAGGGAAAGUGCAGAGGAAGCACGAAGCGGCACAGAGCACCCGCUGCGCUCCGAGGCUCCAGGCCAGUGCGGGGAGGAGAGGACAGGGCGAGGAGGAGGAAGGGCUCAGGCUGCGGGUGCCACGUGCAGAGGGGGUGACCCCAGCCCUGGGUGUCACCGUGCCCCCCUCCAGACUAAUGGGGAGCUGCUAGGGGAUGGUGUGCCGUGCUCAGUUUUCCUGCUGGGGUGGCACAGCCACGCUUCUGUCCUCUCCAUCCCAUGGCCAGCAGUGCUUCCAGCUCUGCAGCCUCCCCAGAGCCACCCAGGGGACAGCAGAAAGCACCGGGCACUGUGCUUGGCCUCGUCCCUGCCACCCGAUGUGUCCUCAGCGUGUGCAGGGGGGCA
This 1489-nucleotide long non-coding RNA is filed under the name Anas platyrhynchos platyrhynchos (common mallard). Its description in RNAcentral is "lncRNA (ENSAPLG00000025139.1)". The record is from RNAcentral. Lineage: Eukaryota; Metazoa; Chordata; Aves; Anseriformes; Anatidae.